CUCAAUCGGUGACGUCAUUGAAUCUUAUGCCGCCAUUUCUGCCAACGCAAGAACGACAGUGACAGAACAGAAGAAGACUAAGUCAGAAUAUCUCCAUUCAGGCGUUUGUGGCACCAGAAAUAACAUUUACAUUAACAAUGAGUGACAUCGACGAUAAAUACGACAAAAAGGUAAAACGUGAUGGUCGAGGCAAUUCCCGGUCACGCUCAGCCUCUCGUUCCCGUUCUCCAGUUUCGAGGUCUCCGACGCGUUCAAGAAGCAGGUCUCGCUCAAGAUCCUACUCUAGAUCGCCAUCCAGAUCACGAUCUCGCUCAGUGGAUCGUAAACGGCGAUACACGAGAUCAAGGUCGAGGUCCAGAACGCCAAGACAUAUUAGAAGUAGAAGGCGACGCUCUCGAAGAUUCUCUUUGUCUCCUCGGAGUAGAGAGUAUCGCAGUCAUAGCAGAUCACCGAUGUCAAACAGAAGAAGACAUAUUGGAAGUCGGGCCAAUCCUGAAACCAACAAUUGUCUUGGAGUAUUUGGUUUGAGCCUAUCAACUACUGAAAGGGAACUGAGAGAGGCUUUUGGAAGAUAUGGUCCAAUUGCGAACAUUAAUGUGGUCUAUGAUCACCAGAGUGGAAGAUCUCGUGGAUUUGCUUUUCUUUCAUAUGAAUCUGAGGAAGAUGCAAGAGAGGCCAAAGAUCGUACUAAUGGAAUGGAAAUAGAUGGUCGUCGAAUUCGUGUUGAUUAUUCCAUCACUAAAAGGGCACAUACCCCAACUCCUGGCAUCUAUAUGGGAAGACCAACAUAUCCAAAAAGAGGUGGCUAUGACAGAGACCCUCCUUAUGAGAGAGAACGAAGCUCUUACAGAGACAGAGACCGUUACAGACGAUCUCCUUCCCCAUAUUACAGACGAUCACCAUCACCCUACUACAGACGACGAUAUUCUCGAUCACGUUCCAGGUCUUACUCUAGAUCUCCACGACGAUAUUAAUCCGAUGUACCAUAGCUGCUCACCCGGGUAUCCACAAACUAUCCAGACUGUAAAUUUUUGCUACGUGUUGCUUAUAGUAGCGACUCUUAUACAAGUCAAUUUCAAUGACAUAAAAUGACUGAGAAGUUUUCAUUUAUUCAUCUAUUGAAGGCAAUGAAGACAAUGUCAGAAAAAAUGAAAAUCAAGAGAAGGCACGAGUAGGGCAAAAUGAAAAUACCUCGGUUGUCUAUUCAGUUGAAGUUUAGAAGGGUGAAUGAAGUUUGAAGAGAAGAAUGAAAACUGAAGAACGGCGACUAAAUUUAGAACCUCGCUUCGCACGAUAAUUGGCGAAAAUUUUCGGGUGUGCCACUGCUUUCAACCGAGAAAAAUGAAAGUGUGCAUUGUUUGGAGAAGUUCAAAUAGACUCCAAGGGGGAAAGAAGAUUGAAGAAUGAAAGCAAAAAAUAUGAAGUAAAUUUUUAUUUGCUUUUUUUUUUUCGAAUGAAAAAAAAAUUUGGCAACUUUUUCCAUGUGAUUCUAAAUGUGAAUUCCCACAUGAAGCUUCCCACAUGAUAGAUGGAUAAAUACCAGUCACCUAAAUUGUUUGAAAGGAACUCACCAAAUAUAUUGCCUUUUCAGUUUAGACUGAAGCUCGAAGAGUUUUUGAAGAGCAAGAAUGCAAAAUGAAGAAAGAAAAUGGGAAGAGAAAAAAAAAAUGAAGAAUCAAAAUUAACUAGAGGGUAAACGAUUGCGCUCUAAUGAGCUUUUCUUGCCAGAUUCUUGUCCCAAUUUUUAGUGGUUAGUUAUAUUUGGAGUGUAUGAAAGGAUGGUAAGUAUUGUUAGGUAAAAUGAGUAGGUUUUUGCUUGAUGAAAUUGUUUGCAGGUGGAGUUAGAAAACUGAUGGAUUGAAGUGGAAACUGCAAGACCUCUAGCUGCAGCAGUGUGGAUCAAAGAAAAGAUUGCAGAGAAUGCUGCUGUGCGAGGUGUUACAACAUGGUUUAACGGAAAACCUGUCAAGUCAUGCCGAUUACAUUUGUUGGUUUAUAUAAAUUUUAUUGUAAACUCUCAAAAUUUUGUACAAGUAAAGAUAUAGUAUAAAGAUACAAAU
This 2060-nucleotide unclassified non-coding RNA is filed under the name Saccoglossus kowalevskii. RNAcentral's name for it is "transformer-2 protein homolog alpha-like, transcript variant X7". Lineage: Eukaryota; Metazoa; Hemichordata; Enteropneusta; Harrimaniidae. The record is from RNAcentral.